GUGGGGAAUAUUGGUCAAUGGGGGAAACCCUGAACCAGCAACGCCGCGUGAAGGAAGAAGGCUUUCGGGUUGUAAACUUCUUUGACAGGGGACGAAAGCAAUGACGGUACCCUGAAAACAAGCCACGGCUAACUACGUGCCAGCAGCCGCGGUAAUACGUAGGUGGCGAGCGUUGUCCGGAUUUACUGGGUGUAAAGGGCGUGUAGGCGGGGCGGUAAGUCAGAUGUGAAAUGUAGGGGCUCAACCCCUGAAUUGCAUUUGAAACUAUCGUUCUUGAGUGAUGGAGAGGCAGGCGGAAUUCCGUGUGUAGCGGUGAAAUGCGUAGAUAUACGGAGGAACACCAGUGGCGAAGGCGGCCUGCUGGACAUUAACUGACGCUGAGGCGCGAAAGCGUGGGGAGCAAACAGGAUUAGAAACCCGGGUAGUCC
This 428-nucleotide ribosomal RNA is filed under the name uncultured bacterium. Its description in RNAcentral is "partial 16S ribosomal RNA". It matches the Rfam family "Bacterial small subunit ribosomal RNA", at positions 354 to 796 of the family's 1533-position model. The record is from RNAcentral.